CUAAAAAGUUCUAAAAGCACAAAGAUUUGGUCCUGGUCUUAUUGUCAGUUAUCUCUUGAUUUACACAUGCAAGUCUCAGCACACCAGUGAGGACGCCCUUACCCCUUCUAUAGGACAAGGAGCUGAUAUCAGGCACUUCCACCGCCCAUAACAUCUAGUCCGACCACACCCCCAAGGGUAUUCAGCAGUGAUAAACAUUGUUUAUAAGCGACAGCUUGACUCAGUCAAAGAGAAGAGGGCCGGCCAACCCGGUGCCAGCCGCCGCGGCUAAACCCUAGGGCCCAAAUUGAUAAUACUCGGCGUCAAUCGUGAUUAAAGCUUUCUAAAAUUAGAGCAGAACCUAUUAUUAAGCUGUGAAAAGCAAUUUUUUUAGGGAAAAUCAGAAACGAAAGUUACUCUAAUACACACUUGAACACACGACAACUGGGAAACAAACUGGGAUUA
RNAcentral lists this ribosomal RNA (444 nucleotides) under Fejervarya limnocharis (Boie's wart frog). RNAcentral's name for it is "partial 12S ribosomal RNA". Lineage: Eukaryota; Metazoa; Chordata; Amphibia; Anura; Dicroglossidae. The record is from RNAcentral.